GACAGAGGGUGCAAACGUUGCUCGGAAUUACUGGGCGUAAAGAGCGUGUAGGCGGCCAGGUAGGUCUGGUGUGAAAACUCGAGGCUUAACCUCGAGAUGUCAUCGGAAACCAUCUGGCUAGAGUCCGGAAGAGGAGAGUGGAAUUCCUGGUGUAGCGGUGAAAUGCGCAGAUAUCAGGAAGAACACCAAUGGCGAAAGCAGCUCUCUGGGACGGUACUGACGCUGAGACGCGAAAGCGUGGGGAGCGAACAGG
This 253-nucleotide ribosomal RNA is filed under the name uncultured bacterium. RNAcentral describes it as "partial 16S ribosomal RNA". It matches the Rfam family "Bacterial small subunit ribosomal RNA", at positions 524 to 776 of the family's 1533-position model. The record is from RNAcentral.